AGUGAACGCUGGCGGUAGGCCUAACACAUGCAAGUCGAACGGCAGCACAGUAAGAGCUUGCUCUUACGGGUGGCGAGUGGCGGACGGGUGAGGAAUACAUCGGAAUCUACUUUUUCGUGGGGGAUAACGUAGGGAAACUUACGCUAAUACCGCAUACGACCUACGGGUGAAAGCAGCGGAUCUUCGGACCUUGCGCGAGUGAAUGAGCCGAUGUCGGAUUAGGUAGUUGGGGGGGUACAGGCCCACCAAGGCGACGAUCCGUAGCUGGUCUGAGAGGAUGAGCAGCCAAACGGGAACUGAGACACGGUCCAGACUCCUACGGGAGGCAGCAGUGGGGAAUAUUGGACAAUGGGCGAAAGCCUGAUCCAGCCAUGCCGCGUGGGUGAAGAAGGCCUUCGGAUUGUAAAGCCCUUUUAGUGGGGAGGAAGGGCAGUAAGUUAAUACCUUGCUGUUUUGACGUUACCAAAAGAAUAAGCACCGGCUAACUUCGUG
Molecule: ribosomal RNA, 492 nt
Filed under: uncultured bacterium
Lineage: Bacteria
Description: partial 16S ribosomal RNA
Rfam family: Bacterial small subunit ribosomal RNA
Source: RNAcentral